This 256-nucleotide ribosomal RNA is filed under the name Algoriphagus chordae. RNAcentral's name for it is "partial 23S ribosomal RNA". It matches the Rfam family "Bacterial large subunit ribosomal RNA", at positions 2652 to 2925 of the family's 2925-position model. The record is from RNAcentral. Lineage: Bacteria; Pseudomonadati; Bacteroidota; Cytophagia; Cytophagales; Cyclobacteriaceae.
GGGAAGUUUGCGAGGACCUGACCUUAGUACGAGAGGACCGGGUUGGACUGACCGCUGGUGUACCGGUUGUGAUGCCAAUUGCAUUGCCGGGUAGCUACGUCGGGAAGAGAUAAGCGCUGAAAGCAUCUAAGUGCGAAACUCCCCUCAAGAUGAGACUUCCAAAUAGGGCCGUCAGAGACGAUGACGUUGAUAGGCUACAGGUGUAAAGGCAGUAAUGUCAUAGCUGAGUAGUACUAAUUGCCCAAAAACUUACCCU